This is a long non-coding RNA of Gallus gallus (chicken), 3284 nucleotides long. The record is from Ensembl. Lineage: Eukaryota; Metazoa; Chordata; Aves; Galliformes; Phasianidae.
GGAAGGGCUGGUAGACAGACUCACAUACCCAGCGCUGAUAAGAAGUUCUGUGCAAAUCUCUUUCAUGCUUUGCUUUUCCUCUGAUAAAUGUUUAAGAAGAGAUUUGUCUUACCAUAACGACUGUGGUGUGAGAAAGUGAAAAGAGCAGGGAUUUUAUAUUCCUGAAUUAGAGAUUUACAAAUUUUCUUUUACUUUUUAUUUGUUAAAUGGGGUGUGCUACCAGCAUCAGCUACCAUCUCCCAUGCCCUUACAUCCUUACACUGCUGUGGUUCCAAGCCACUCAUGUGUACAAGUUUGAAGGAGCAGGGCAGGUACCUCUGUGGUGUUCCAGUGUCUGUUUUUCUCUGGAUGGAAACAGGACAGCCCAGGCCCCACCCUGCCGGUGGAAAGUUCAUGGAAACCAUCAAUCAGCACCAGUUGCCUUUAGCAACCAACAACAAAUCUGCCCCCUUUGGCCACGGAGAUCGAGAGUGCGUGGUUAUUACUGCAUCGAUGUUCAGCUGAGGAGUCCUGGCAUUGAGAAGACUCCACCUGUAAGAACUUCCAGAGAGCACAAAGAAGACUGGGAGGUCCUGGGGGAACUCUCCCACCAGAAAGCACAUUUCAGGCUUUCCACACUGCUUCCUCAUCACAUCAUCAGCAAGAGAGGGAAUGACUUGGACACUCUACAACAUGGAAGCCUGUACCCUAGGAAACCUGAUAGCAGCCAGACUGGAUGUGCCAGAAAUCAGAACUGCUUCUUGGAUGCACAGAGAGAUCUGCAGGAACCUCUCUACUCUGAACAGUGGAAAACAGUCAGUACUUACCUUGCCCUCUCCCACACUGCUGGUCACUGUUCCUAGCUUGAGGAGCAGAGUGCAGAGUACUGCCCACAUUAUACUGUGCCAUCCUUCAGACAGCAUUGGCAUACACCAGAAUAAUACUACCAGGGGUGGAGGACAAGGACUGAUUCCUGAAAUGGGGUCUUGUGCUGUGGCAGGGUGGCAGAGUACCAGGGAAUGCUGGGCAGGGGCGGUCAGGGUUGGUGGUGCCCUUGAUGCAGGGAAGGCCCAAAUCUUUCAGUAUGCACUGAUUGUAGAUGAACUUAGAUACCAACACAAAGUUUCUGUGGUGGAUAAUUAUGGACAAGCCUCAGUGAUUUAGGAGCAUGCGUGCUUAUGAAGCUCAGCAAACUCUGAAUAAAUGCAUAAGGAAAUCACGGUCACUGCUUCAAGUGUCUCUAUUUACAGACACCUAAAAAUAGCAGUGACUAAAGCAAGGUACCUCGAGUUAACGCUGUGUCCUGAGUUGUCAUGUACACAUCAUGGUUAAAACAGCUCUCAGCUCUUAAAGUCAAUGCUCAGAAACUUCUUCAGAACAUUUUAAAGUUAAUAGCAUUCUUUACCCUCAAAGCAGGCAUACUUAACUGUGAGCUGAUUUUGCUGUACAGUCACUUUGACACCUACAUUUAGUUAACGCUUCUUUAUCCAGCCCCACCAGCGAGACCUGUAGAGUGGCAACACUCCUUGAUUACUGACAUGACUGCCAGAGCUUUAAUGUGGUCUAAGUGUCACCACGUUUCACAUCAAGACAGGCACAAGUCCCAGUAUCAAUCAAAGUGACUCUGGGUGGAGUUUCCCAUAUACCUUAUUAGCUUAAAAUAUUACAGUGAUCAUAGCCCCCUGUAUAGAAUGGUUCUUGGGGAGGCAGAGCAGUCCAAGAGUCAAUUCAUCAGUGAUAAUUUUUCUACUUGGAGAAAAUAUAUAACAGUGAUUAUCAGUGGAAUUGCCUACUGCUUAUUUAAAAUAAAUUUCAUUCUGCCUUUCUGUCCUAUUCAAGAACUUUCUAAAGUUCUUGUACUACAAAAGGGGGACUGACGUGGGAUCCAGAAUGUUCCUAUUUGUAUUUUUUUGGAGCUAUAAUUGCCAAUGUUUGAAGUGCGUUGACAUGAAUCAGAAACAGCUGGAGCUUCAGUCAGCAAAAUGGGAAACAUAGGUGGUGCAUAAUCAUUGAAUUAAGAAGCUUCACUGCUGCCCAGAAUGACUGAUUGGAUAUUAUCUAAUGGCAAAAGAAGAGAUAUUGUUAACAUCUGAUGGUUUUAAUUUCAAGUAUUUUUAGGAGAUGCAUCAAUCGAAGCAGUGAUUAGACAAAAGUGGACAAAACCGUCAGCUGAUUGCUUUUAAACAUUACAAUCUCAUUUAAAAAUGAAUGAGAAAAAAGUCUAUAACUUUACUCAGCUGUAAUUUUGGCCUCCUCACAUAUUAUGAACUUGCUCUGUUUUGCAGACAUCAAAGGGAACAGAUUUAUGUAAAACAACCAACACUCCUUUCUCCUCCACAUGAAUAAUUCCUGUAGCUGAUUUCUACUGGGAAAGAGAAAUACCUUUUAUUUCUGUUGUGUACCCAGACACAAUUUAGAGCAAUUAGCUGCACUUAGGAUACUUCAGAUUAUUGUCCAUUCUUCUGACAGUUCAAGGAAAGUGGCCCAACAAGAUCUGUUUUGAAAGAGAGAUUAUGAAUAUGGCCAAAGCAGUGUACGCAGCUGGGUUCAAGUGCUUCAUUUCCAAUGUCUUUGUUUUGGUAGGAAAUGAUGAUUGAGUCUGAUGCUUGUACACAUUGUACCAUCAAAAUUGGUAUUUCUGGACUGCCUGUUCAAACGGUGCCUCUGACACUCUUUCCAGUUAGCAUCUCCAAGGCUUACAGCAGAUAAUUGUUUGAUGGGUUCUUAUCUCCACUGUUAUUCGGAAAGUCUAUUUGGAAAUAAUGGCUUAAAAAUAAAAUAAAAGCAGAGGCAACAUUAUCAGAAUCAUUUACCGUAGGCAAUCCAAAUGAAAUCUCUAGAGGAAAGAUUAUCCAACCUCCACAUCCAUAGCAACUAUGAAACAAAAAGCUAUGAAAUAAAGGAGUUGGUAUUCUGGAGUUCCUUUAGUUGUCUCUCCUUCCCAACUCAGUGAAGAAGUUUUUCAGUGCUUCUGUAUGUCUGAACAUGUAGACUCUGUAUGUUCUUAAUGUCACGUAGUCAAAGCCAUUGCUAUGAUUUCUUCAGUAUGGCUGCUUUUCUGUGUUGGAGUAGGAAAGCAGAUUAAAACAUAACUAUGUCUGUCUGCUUUUCAUGGUCUAUUAAGACAUUAAGUCCUGUGUUUCCCUCUCUUUUCAGAGCCAUCACUGUGCCAGAUACUGAAGCUAGCAGUGACUGUAUUUAAACAAAGAUUUAAUAUACAGAGGUCUAGUAUGGUAUCCUUAGCCAUCAUGGAUAAGAGGUUUCAGGUUCCAUCAACUCUCCAUUUUAUUUAAUGUAUGAGUCAG